Austrofundulus limnaeus is the source of this 5307-nucleotide RNA transcript. It is a transcript of the gene named ELKS/RAB6-interacting/CAST family member 2, with no coding region annotated. NCBI's taxonomy places the organism in Eukaryota, Metazoa, Chordata, Actinopteri, Cyprinodontiformes, Rivulidae. The transcript has 20 exons. The record is from RefSeq and is a predicted model, not a curated record.
CAGGUCACACAGCUGAGCGGAUGAGCUCAUGGUGGAGCCCGCCUGCCCGCACCGGGGACGGACGGUGAUGGAGAGGCGCCUGCCCGGUGAGCUGGAGCUUCACGAAUCCAUCCCGACCUGCCGUGUAGCCGAAAUCACAUCACACCUGGCCUGUGUCUUUAGGAGYCCAAUUGCCAUAAGUAACAAAUAAUUUCUUCAAAAAGGUUUAAGUAUGUCCAAUCUUUAUGUCCUACACAUCUARAGAUGGUCAGGUGAAAACUAAGGCCAAAUAGUGGCCUMUAAUAAUUGUAAUAMGUYAUUCUARUUCCAAAAAGGGGUAUGAAAAUAUUCCUAAUACCAGCUUGUUUUCAGCUGUUCUAUUUUGCCAUAUAACAAUGCCAAUUAACAUAAGAGCCAAGCCCUCGCACAGUAAGCUGUCUGCUGUUGCUAAGAGUAGCGGGCACAAUGAGGGAAGCACAUCUCAUUCACGCUUCUCAAGGUCUGCUAAACAAGGGAAAGGCAAACAGGCCGUGAGCUCAACACCAGGAUGCCGCUCAGGACUUGAGCCUGGCUGUGUGUCAGGGGGUGUGCCUGCACCAGCGUCUAAGCUGGCUGGAGCUCAAGGGUCAGUGUCGAAGCCCGGUUCAAAACUCAAAGCUGGCACAGCAGCAGAUAAAGGCUCAAAUCGUGGUUCGGCAACAGCUCCAGGUGGYAAAACCCUGUCCAUGGAGAACAUCCAGUCUUUAAGCGCUGCUUAUGCCACUUCUGGCACUAUGUAUCCCAGUGAACAAGAGUCCUUGGAACCCACCGGUGGAUACCCCAAAGGCAGCUUGACAUUAGGCCGGAGUACCAGCCGCUCCUCCUACACCGGCCGCACAACAACCACGGGUAGCAGCCCAAACAUCACAUCCUCCGCGACUCAUCACCCGUUGGACACUUGCGGAAACCAYGCCGUAAUUACUGGAGGGACGUCAAGUUUGCGACGACAAUCUGGAAGGUGCGCACAGACGUCAGAGUUGGCCAGGCAGGCAGAGGUUUCCACCUACGACCUCCAGGCUCAGCUCAGGGACUUGCAGCGGGAGAACGACAGCCUCCGGAGAGAACUGGAAGGAGGGAGGGAYAGAAAGACRAGUCAUGGAAUGAACAGCGUUGAUUUCUGGAACCCGGACGUAAAGAGGGAUAAGGGGAGCCGACGAGAAGAUGGCGUGAGACCCUUGGUUGUGAAAGACCAGUACAGGCUGAACCAAGAAGACACACAGUCAGAAGACAUCAGAAGAAACAAGCAACUUCCAUUAACAGUUCAGGAGCUACAGGAAGAGCUUAAAGCUCACAGAGAGAUGAACAGUCGCCUGCGUCAACAGCGGCACCAGGGGAACUCCUAUCGAGAACACCAUGUGGAUCAGGAGUUCAGAGGAGGACUGAGCCCUGAACACAGCCCCAGGUACAGUCUCAUAAACCUGCACAGUCCUGCACCAAAGAACAGCCCCAAAGCUAGCCCGUCCAACACCUACAACCCAAGGCAUCAAGAAGCUGACAUCAUCAUCCACAGCCCUGGGUACGGCUGUAACUCUGCAGUAGCCACGCAGAGACUGAGCCCAGCCAGCACCCUCCAGCCCGGUCAGAGGAACAGUCCAAACCAGCCGCUCCACAGUCCCAGUCAAAGUCCAGCAGUGGGGCCCGGUUCUGGCUCCCUUCGGCCCUGCAGCCCCUGUCAGGUGCCCGGGUGUGAUGGCUUUUCCUCCCCUCCUCCCUUGGAUCCAUCAGAGGAGAACUUCUUCAGGCUGCAGUCGGCCCACGAGCGGCAAGCCAAGGAGCUCUCCCAGCUGAGGAAGACCAUGGAGGACAUGGAGAUUCGAAUCGACUCUCAGAAGCAGACUCUGGGGGCUCGGGACGAGAGCAUCCAGAGGCUGCUGGAGAUGCUUCAGGGUCAAGGUCAGGGACAGUGGGGCCGGGGACAGCGAACGGGGAUAAUAACCAUGGCAGCACAGGAGGCCGAAACGCAGCUGGAGAACUUGCAUUUGAAAGAGAACACGACCCCCACGUUCUGUUUUGACCCUGAUGUUAUCUGGCAGGACACCAAGAUCUCUUCCCUGGAAAGAAACAUCAGAGACUUAGAAGAUGAGGUCCAGAUGCUAAAAACCAGCGGCCUGUUGCACCCAGACGAGAGGCAGGAGGAGCUCAAGCAGGUGGAAGUCUACAAGAGCCAUUCUAAGUUCAUGAAAACUAAGGAGCAGGCAUUGUCACCAUGUGUAUCUUCCAUCAGACCAGCUCCCACCUUCCUCCCCUCCACCCAACAACCUUGGAUCACAGAACAAGCAGAAAUAGAGCAGCUGAAGCAGGAGCUGAACAAGAAGGAGUCGGAGAUGCAGGCCCAGCAGACCAAACUAGAUACACUGACCAAUCAGAACUCUGACUGCAAGCAGCACAUAGAGGUGCUGAAAGAGUCCCUCAGUGCCAAGGAUCAACGGGCCAAUACUCUGCAGACAGAGGUUGAUGCUCUGCGAGUGCGUCUGGAAGAGAAGGAACAGAUCUUGACCAAGAAGACCAAACAGCUGCAGGACUUGGGUGAUGAAAAAAGCACGCUAACAGGAGAAAUCCGAGACAUGAAGGACAUGCUGGAUGUCAAGGAAAGAAAAGUCAAUGUCCUGCAGAAAAAGAUUGAGAACCUGUUGGAACAGUUAAAGGAUAAGGACAAACAGCUUGCUGGAUUGAGAGAAAGGGUGCAGGGCCUUCAGACGGACUCCAGUAACACCGACACAGCUCUGGCCACUUUGGAAGAGGCUUUAUCAGAAAAGGAGCGAGUGAUCGAGAACCUCCGGGAACAAAAGGAACGAGAGGACAGGGUUCGGCUUGACGAGCUAGAGCAGAUGAGGAAGGCGAACCAGGAGCUAAAGAACAAACUGGCAGCCCUGCAACCCCAGAGACCAUCACAGAGCCAGGUCACGAACCUCAUCGCAACCCAGAAUCCCGAUGGAGAGAUCCAGCGGACAGAGGAUGCUGUCAGAAUUUGUCCCGACAUUACAGAUCGUCUGCGGCUUCUGGAGCAGGAAGUGUCCCGCUACAGAGAGGAGUCUCRGAAGUCCGAGGCUGAAGUUGAGAGGCUAAAGGGGGCUCUGAAAGAUUCUGAAAUGGACAAAUCAUGCAAGGAGAAGAAAACCGCUGAUUUUGAAAGGCAAAUCAAGUCUCCAAACAUCCAGAAGCAGAUUAUGCCAAGUGACUUGAGGAAAGAUGCUUUAACAGAUGGACAUCCAUACUCUUUAUCACAGCCUUCGCUUUCCACUUCCCAGGAUGCCAUGCGGGAGACGGCGGAGCGGAUUAUGGAGUUGGAGAAGGCGCUGAGAGAGAGCAUGAACACCUCAGCACACAGGGAGGCUCUGUGGGCGCAGGAGGAGGCUGCCCACGUUCAGGCCCAGAGACAGUUGGAAGAGUUGAUGGGGGCUUUGGAAAAGACUCGGCAGGAGCUGGAUGCCACGAAGGUGCGCCUGUCCUCAACUCAGAAGUGCCUGCAUGAAAGAGAUGGACACCUCAACCAGCUGCAGCAAGAGAGACGUAAACAGCUGGAGGAGAUUCUGGAGAUGAAGCAACAGGCUUUGCUGGCAGCCAUCAGUGAGAAGGACGCUAACAUUGCCUUGCUGGAGUUAUCAUCAUCUAAGCGCAAGAAAGCCCAGGAGGAAGUGAUGGCACUGAAGAGGGAAAAGGACAGACUCAUGCACCAGCUCAAACAGCAGACUCAAAGCCGAAUGAAGCUGAUAGCAGAUAAUUAUGAGGAGGAUUACGUCCAUCCCCAGCAUCAUCCUCAUCAUUUGCACCACAUGCAUCAGGCGAAUGUGCAUCAUCGGAGUCUCCCAAGAGGGCCCUCUCAUGCCAACCACAGACCCCAUAUAGAGCAGGAUGAUGAGGAGGGAAUAUGGGCAUGAAGACCACCACCAUAGGGACUUGCAACUUUUCAUUUUAUCAGGAGAUGGUUCCCGUUUAACCCGGACCACACCCCUGUUCACCUUCAUCAUUAAUCGCCAUCAGAGUGAAAAACUGCUCUUGGAACCACAAGGUUGAUUGACUUYACCUCCCAGCACUCGCUGGUUUGUCUUCAUUAUCAUGACUAUCAGACAAAAGAAGAUGUCCAUAUACAACCUAGUUUCCAUUAUUUCAGCCCACUUUGGUUAAGAUCAGCAUUUAGAUGCUCUACUGGUAAAUAGACAAAUGCAGUGUCUCACUGUGCAAAAUGUCCCAACCAGAGCACCGGCCAUCAAUGUGAGGUCUCAGAAUGCUGACAAGCACUGCCCUCCCUUCAUCCUCCUCUCUGUUUCCAAUCGACUGGAAGCUGGAUUUAUUUUACAGUACCAUGCUGCUACAGAAUCCUGGCUUCACAUCAACCAACAGUCACAGCACCGCUGAUGACUGCAAGCAUGGCAAAAGCUAAUCCAGUGGAACAAGCCCUAAACCCAUACCUGGUGUGGUUCAUAAUGCUAUGAAUGUGUUUACUUCUGUAGCUAAAUAUCGGACUUUUGUAAACAGGACAACAUGGACCUCAAAAUCAACAAUUUACUGAAACCUUCUUAAUGUACUGUGCCAAAGGAGUUGUCCCAAUCUGCUGGGAUGAAAAACUGAGCUGGAGCUGCWGUUCAUUCAUUUCUGACCCAAGACUACUUGGUAAUGUAGCUCAUUCAACUAUUACUGUACAGAGACCAACAAAGAAAAAUAUUGGGCUUUAAGAUGCCCCACAAGCAGGAUGAGAAUCAGCUUCCACUUUUUUUUCCUUUCCUUCAAAAAGUCAAGACCCUAAUUUAAGAAGGGAAACUCAACUAAGCCAGUUUUCUGUAUGAGCGAAUGGUUUUCUCCUUGUGUUCCUUCAGCCUGCUGUGCAUUUGUUUUAAGAAACAAAAUCAAAGUCCGUUUGAUUUUUCGACAUCUGAAACUGAGUGCCACUCUUUUUUUGUAUCACAGCUACUGUGUGUCUUAUUAUACUGAAGAAUGGUGUGUUUCUSUAUUUAUUGAUCCUGUGAAAUUGUGUGACACAUCUGACUACAGUGAAGUGACUUAUUGCAUUUUAAACACCAGAAUCAUAAAUUUUCUUUGAGCUAAAAGGGUAAUCUGAUGUGUGACAAUUAUUGGCAGUCUUGCUGUGACUCAACAUCCUAACCGUGUGUUAAAUCUGUCCUUUUACUGAAAAUGUACAGUUUAUUUAUCUAUUUAUUUUUGCACGUGUGCUGUUCAGUCAUGGUUGUGGUGAAAGUUUUGGGGGUAACUGUACUUACCCUUGGCUUGUUCCACAAUGUAUUGCAGAUGACAAUUUGUUGCUGUUGAGUGAAUAAAAGCUGUUUCACAAGA